AUUGAACGCUGGCGGCAGGCCUAACUCAUGCAAGUCGAACGGUAACAGGAAGCAGCUUGCUGCUUCGCUGACGAGUGGCGGACGGGUGAGUAAUGUCUGGGAAGCUGCCUGAUGGAGGGGGAUAACUACUGGAAACGGUAGCUAAUACCGCAUAAUGUCGCAAGACCAAAGAGGGGGACCUUCGGGCCUCUUGCCAUCGGAUGUGCCCAGAUGGGAUUAGCUUGUUGGUGGGGUAACGGCUCACCAAGGCGACGAUCCCUAGCUGGUCUGAGAGGAUGACCAGCCACACUGGAACUGAGACACGGUCCAGACUCCUACGGGAGGCAGCAGUGGGGAAUAUUGCACAAUGGGCGCAAGCCUGAUGCAGCCAUGCCGCGUGUAUGAAGAAGGCCUUCGGGUUGUAAAGUACUUUCAGCGGGGAGGAAGGGAGUAAAGUUAAUACCUUUGCUCAUUGACGUUACCCGCAGAAGAAGCACCGGCUAACUCCGUG
This 490-nucleotide ribosomal RNA is filed under the name uncultured bacterium. Its description in RNAcentral is "partial 16S ribosomal RNA". It matches the Rfam family "Bacterial small subunit ribosomal RNA", at positions 30 to 507 of the family's 1533-position model. The record is from RNAcentral.